RNAcentral lists this ribosomal RNA (495 nucleotides) under uncultured bacterium. Its description in RNAcentral is "partial 16S ribosomal RNA". It matches the Rfam family "Bacterial small subunit ribosomal RNA", at positions 28 to 507 of the family's 1533-position model. The record is from RNAcentral.
GACGAACGCUGGCGGCGUGCUUAAUACAUGCAAGUAGAACGGUGAAGGAGGGGCUUGCUGUUCUGGUUGAGUUGCGAACGGGUGAGUAACGCGUAGGUAACCUGCCUGGUAGCGGGGGAUAACUAUUGGAAACGAUAGCUAAUACCGCAUGACAACAGCUAUUGCAUGAUAACGGUUGAAAAGGUGCAACGGCUCGACUAGCAGAUGGACCUGCGGUGUAUGGGCUAGUGGGUGAGGUAACGGCUCACCAAGGCGACGAGGCAUAGCGGACGGGCGAGGGGGGGCAGCCAGACUGAGAGUGUGACCCGGCACAUACGCCUUCAGGUGGCAGCAGUAGGGAAUCGUCGGCAAUGGGCGGGGGUCUGACCGCGCUACGCCGCAGGAGGAAGGAAGAUCGUCGGAUCGUAGAGCUCGGUUGUAGGGGAAGAACGAGCGUGAGCCUGGAAAGUUCACUGUGUGACGGUAACUUACAAAGAAGCAACGGCUAACUACGUG